UCCUUUAGAAUUUUAUUUAAGGUUUGACCUGCCCACUGAUUUAUUGAAUGGCCGCAGUAUUUUAACUGUGCAAAGGUAGCAUAAUCCUUUGUUUUUUAAUUGGAGGCUGGAAUGAAUGGUUGGACGAAAUAUUGACUGUUUCACUUUAAUUUUUUAUAGAAUUUUAUUUUUUAGUUAAAAAGCUAAAAUCUAUUUAAAAGACGAGAAGACCCUAUUAAUCUUUAUAUUUUUGUAAAAAAGGAAUUUUUAGGUUGUAUUUAUUUUUUUUUUUUAAUAAUAUUUUAUUGGGGUGAUGUUAAAAUUUAAUGAACUUUUAAUUAUAAUUUUCAUUUAUUUAUGAGUGUUUGAUCCAUUAUUGGUGAAUAAAAAAAUAAGUUACUUUAGGGAUAACAGCGUAAUUUUUUUGGAGAGUUCUUAUCGAUAAAAAGGAUUGCGACCUCGAUGUUGGAUUAAGAGAUGUAUUUGGGUGU
RNAcentral lists this ribosomal RNA (470 nucleotides) under Cephalopina titillator. Its description in RNAcentral is "partial large subunit ribosomal RNA". Lineage: Eukaryota; Metazoa; Arthropoda; Insecta; Diptera; Oestridae. The record is from RNAcentral.